AGAGUUUGAUUAUGGCUCAGGAUGAACGCUGGCGGUGCGCCUAAUGCAUGCAAGUCGAGCGACGCAUUCCCGGUUCGUAAGAACUGGGUCUGACGGAGCGGCGAACGGGUGAGUAACACGUGAGCAACCUGCCCCGAAGACCGGGAUAGCCCAGGGAAACCUGGAUUAAUACCGGAUACCCUCUCGAGACCACAUGGUCAUGAGAGGAAAGGCCUUUGUGCUUUGGGGUGGGCUCGCGGCUUAUCAGCUAGUUGGUGGGGUAACGGCCUACCAAGGCAAUGACGAGUAGCUGGUCUGAGAGGACGAUCAGCCACACUGGAACUGAGACACGGUCCAGACUCCUACGGGAGGCAGCAGCAGGGAAUCUUGCGCAAUGGGCGAAAGCCUGACGCAGCGACACCGCGUGGGGGAUGAAGGCCUUCGGGUUGUAAACCCCUUUCAGGAGGGAAGAAAUUGACGGUACCUCCAGAAGAAGGACCGGCCAACUACGUGCCAGCAGCCGCGGUAAUACGUAGGGUCCUAGCGUUAUCCGGAAUCAUUGGGCGUAAAGAGCUCGUAGGCGGUUCAGCAAGUCGGCUGUGAAAGUCCGAGGCUCAACCUCGGAAUUGCAGUCGAUACUGUUGUGACUCGAGUCCGGUAGAGGAGAAUGGAAUUCCCGGUGUAGCGGUGAAAUGCGCAGAUAUCGGGAGGAACACCAGUAGCGAAGGCGGUUCUCUGGGCCGGCACUGACGCUGAGGAGCGAAAGCGUGGGGAGCAAACAGGAUUAGAUACCCUGGUAGUCCACGCCGUAAACGUUGGAUACUAGGUGUGGCGGUUAUACCAAUGACUGCUGUGCCGAAGCUAACGCAUUAAGUAUCCCGCCUGGGGAGUACGGCCGCAAGGCUAAAACUCAAAUGAAUUGACGG
RNAcentral lists this ribosomal RNA (905 nucleotides) under uncultured bacterium. Its description in RNAcentral is "bacterial SSU rRNA". It matches the Rfam family "Bacterial small subunit ribosomal RNA", at positions 8 to 916 of the family's 1533-position model. The record is from RNAcentral.